Molecule: ribosomal RNA, 399 nt
Filed under: uncultured Glomeromycotina
Lineage: Eukaryota; Fungi; Glomeromycota
Description: SSU rRNA
Rfam family: Eukaryotic small subunit ribosomal RNA
Source: RNAcentral
AUUGUCUGUACUGGUGAGAUGAGUCUCUACCUUCUGAGGAACUCUCAUGCCAUUUAUUUGGUGUGGUUGGAAAUCAGGACUGUUACUUUGAAAAAAUUAGAGUGUUUAAAGCAGGCUAACGUCUGAAUACAUUAGCAUGGAAUAAUGAAAUAGGACGGAUUGAUUCUAUUUCGUUGGUUUCUAGGGUCACCGUAAUGAUUAAUAGGGAUAGUUGGGGCAUUAGUAUUCAAUUGUCAGAGGUGAAAUUCUUGGAUUUAUUGAAGACUAACUACUGCGAAAGCAUUUGCCAAGGAUGUUUUCAUUAAUCAAGAACGAAAGUUAGGGGAUCGAAGACGAUCAGAUACCGUCGUAGUCUUAACCAUAAACUAUGCCGACUAGGGAUCGGACGCAGUUAAUUUU